This 422-nucleotide long non-coding RNA is filed under the name Carica papaya (papaya). RNAcentral's name for it is "long non-coding RNA (CPAP_LNC011049)". The record is from RNAcentral. Lineage: Eukaryota; Viridiplantae; Streptophyta; Magnoliopsida; Brassicales; Caricaceae.
AUACAAAAUAAUUAUGGAUAUGUGAUGGAUCUAAAAAUGUGAUUAUCAUAAAUGAAUAAUGAAUGUGAAAGAGAAAAGAAUGAAAACCCGUUUGACUGUUAUCCUUGAGGGGUUCCUGUUUCUCUCUCCUUUGAAUAAAUAUUGGUAAUACUCUGUGAAUGAUCGGUGUUUUCCUCUAACGAGAGCGAAUUUACGAAAUGAUAUGGAGGGCCACAAUGGUGAAGUACAAUCGUUGUCAUAAAUUAUGCCCAAUAUCAUUAUGGAAUUGACCCAAUAUCAUUGUGGAACUAUCCCAAUAUCGUUAUGGAACUGACCCAAUAUCAUUCUGGAAUUGUCCCAAUGUCGUUAUGGAACUGACCCAAUAUCGUUAUGGAACUAUCCCAGCAUAUUCAACUUGAAUGCCCCUUUACACAUCCAGCUCG